RNAcentral lists this ribosomal RNA (119 nucleotides) under Triticum aestivum (bread wheat). The record is from RNAcentral. Lineage: Eukaryota; Viridiplantae; Streptophyta; Magnoliopsida; Poales; Poaceae.
GGAUACGAUCAUACCAGCACUAAAGCACCAGAUCCCAUCAGAACUCCGAAGUUAAGCGUGCUUGGGCGAGAGUAGUACUAGGAUGGGUGACCUCCUGGGAAGUCCUCGUGUUGCAUUCC